GGUUGCACAGAGUGAAGAGUGAAUAGGAAUCUUGAAAAUGAUGUCUUUAUUGGGACUGGGAUUAUUGAUAUGUAUAGUAAAAUGGGUGAUUUGGAGAGUGCUAGGAAGGUAUUUGAUAAAAUGCCUGAUAAGGAUGUUGUAGUUUGGAAUGCAAUGCUUUCUGGGGUUGCACAGAGUGAAGAGCCGGUUAAGGCUGUUGAUCUUUUCAAGAAGAUGCAAUUUAUAUGUCAGAUUAAUCCUAGUUCAGUGACGUUAUUGAAUUUGCUUCCUGCAGUUUGUAAAUUAAUGGAUAUGAGGGUGUGUAGGUGUAUACAUGGUUAUGUGUAUAGGAGAGUGUUUCCAGUUUCGGUUUAUUAUGCGUUGAUCGAUACGUACUCCAAAUGUAAUUAUUCUAAUGUUGCUCGUCAAGUUUUUAACACGUUGAGGGGGAAAGAUGAUGUUUCAUGGGGUACAAUGAUGGC
This 461-nucleotide unclassified non-coding RNA is filed under the name Hevea brasiliensis (rubber tree). Lineage: Eukaryota; Viridiplantae; Streptophyta; Magnoliopsida; Malpighiales; Euphorbiaceae. The record is from RNAcentral.